This 131-nucleotide microRNA precursor is filed under the name Triticum aestivum (bread wheat). RNAcentral's name for it is "MIR827 microRNA precursor family". It matches the Rfam family "MIR827 microRNA precursor family". RNAcentral also lists the same sequence under 1 other name. Lineage: Eukaryota; Viridiplantae; Streptophyta; Magnoliopsida; Poales; Poaceae. The record is from Rfam by way of RNAcentral.
ACUUGUUUUGUUGGUUGUCAUCUAACCAUCGUUCGAUCUGCCACCUGGUGCAUGGUGGAUGCCUGGGUGCAUGGCGAUUGCGCCAACACGCAGACGGUGAUGAUGGUUAGAUGACCAUCAGCAAACAUGUU